GAGGCAAAUGGCUCCUGAGUGGAACGGGGCGGGUCCCCAGGGAAGUCCCACCUUUAGGCUGGGGAGUGCCUGAAGCCUGGAGGCCUGGCUGCUGGUCCCGCGGGAACUUGUGGUGCUUUCCCCAGGCACGCCCAUGGCCUCCCAUGGACCAAUCAGCACACACUUCCUCCCCUCUGAGGCCCAUGAAAAGCCCCAGACGCAGUCAGACCAGAAGAGACGUUGGGCCAACCAGCUGCGGAGGGAAGGUAUCUACCCCAGGGUCUUCUCUCUGUUGAGUGCUGAAGAGAUGACGGGAUGACCUGCCUGCAGAGAGGAGCUACCGUCUCUGCUGAGAGCUGAAUACUUGUCUGGACACCCUGGCUACAGAGAAGAACUACCCACUGCAGGUCUCCUCUGAGCUGCUCUAUCAUUCAAUAAAGCUCCUCUUCGUCUUGCUCAUCCUCACUUGUCUUUCUGAGGAGAAUACCUCAUUCUUCCUGGAUGCAGGACAAGAACUUGGGACCCGCCGAAAGGCAGGGAUGCAAGAGCUGUAACACAAACAAGGCUGAAAUACACCCCUUGUUCACCACAUUGAGGGUGACAAGGAGAGAAGAGAGAACGAGAGAAGAGCUGCGGCUUUUCGAGGAGCCCAGACCCAGGAGCUUCUUGAGCCAGGGAUGUGACACUCUCUUUAAGGCUCUGCGGUUCCUGGAGUCUUCAAGCUUCUGGGUGCCACCAUGUUCCCUGGUGUCAGCUGGGAACUGCUUGUGGUACGCCUGGUCCGGCCGCAGCUUCGCAGGGAGCUGGCGCUUGUGCCAGUGCCUGGAGCUGCCCGCCCUGCUGCAGCCGGUAUGCCUGGCUGUGCACAGUGGCCCAGACCCCAAGCAUGCUCACACACCCCUCGCCACUUUGCGUUCGGCUCACCUUUGGCAGGCAUGGGAUCCAGGCCAGUAGCGUGAGCUGAGUGCGCCUGCCAGGCUGAGUGGGCGGAACAAGCCCAGCAGGUCAGAGCAAAACUAGGGCAAAGGCACCACUGGCCACAGAGGUUACCAGCUGGCAAAGCGACACGUUGCUGUGUGAUCUUGGACGAGUUACUGAACCUUGCUGUGUUUCUUCAUCAAUGAAGUGGAAUCAUCAUGGACUCCAUCUCAUCAGAUUGUUUUGAAGAGUUUCCCAAAUUGCUUCACUCCACAAACGUUUUCCAAGCCAUUUGUGAAUGGCCUUAAUUAAGAAGACUGGAAAUGUGUCUCCUGUCUCCUUCACAGGCCCCACCCCAAUGCCGUUCUGGGGUCCGAACCUUAGGGGCUAUUGAAAUGCCUGUCCCCAAUAUCAUAAGACUGUGCUGGUCAUCGACGUUGGGUGUCUUUUCCAACUGGCUGCUGCAUCUGCCCGAUUCACCACUAUCCACACCACUCUGGCUGAUAAAUAUUGUGAGUGUCAACCCUGGUUACACUUAGUGAGGCUAAAAUCCUUGCGUGGCCACCUAGUAGCUGUUUGACUGUGUGUUUAUUAAGUAACCUCCCUGAGCUUUAGUUUACCUCUCAGUAAAAUAGGAAAAUAAUAGUAAAAUAAUGGUGCUGUUGGGAAGAUGGAAUUAGAGAUUGUGUAUAGAAUAUUUAUCAUCUUCCCUGGCCAAUAGUAGGUGCUUGUUAAAUGUCAGUCCUCAUCUUCCAUUUUCUUUGUUCUCCUGACCUUGUCAGGAAUCUCUGCUUUCUUGACUCAAGAAUCACAGAAUGAUGAGACCUUAGAGACUGAAGGAAAUGCUGGGACCAUCAGAUCCAACAAUCCCUUAGGUUCAGGGAUCUAUCUUAUUGGCAAAACUUUGACUAUAAUCUAGACAACUAUCCUGGGCUACCUCUUCUGUUUGUAUGUGUUAUAAUUCAAGAUGCAUACUUGCUUUGUGUAUACUUUGUCCUGUAUUUGUUUGGAUAUUUAAUGCAUCAUUAACCUGGUUGGUCAGCUUCCAAAUUUCUGCCACUAUUAGAUAAGGAAAAAUGGAAUGAGAGAUAGUGGAAGGAUCAAAGUAAAUUCAUCCUGGUUCCUGGGGAGAACCUUCAAAAUUUAUGUCCUACAGAGAGAAGAUCAGUAGCAUUGUUUCAAAUGACAGUACAGUUUAAAAAAAUUCUUUUCAUUAUACAUCAUUCCAAGAAGGACCUUUUUGUUCUACAGCUAAUUUUUAUGAUGGGGAAAGUGUUUCUUUUUUGAGUUUCAGUGGCUAGAUGACAUGGCAACUGCUUGGCAACACAUAUUGCAAAGCUUGAAUUAUUCUUUUCCCAUUCUUAUUUAGUACAUUAUAGAACAAAGCUAAAUAAAUGAAUCCAGUGACCUUAAAUCUACGUACAAAACCUUUAUAGUUUGAUAAAGCCUAAUUUUAGUAUUUGUCUUAUAAUAAGCUGUGUAAAAAUUUUAUCAUGAAAUCCAAAGCCAUCAAAAAUAGACUGUAGAUUCAUGCCAGGAUUAGAUUUGUUUAUGUAAAUCCAAAAUAUUUAGUGUCAAGUGGUACUAAAUACGCAGGUUCAUUGAGAAAAGUGUGACAAAUACUUGGAUUUUAGUAAUUUCAUUUGUAUGUAUGUGUAUAUGUGUUUUAGUUUUAAAAUAUGAUUCUGCCCAAUUUAAGUUAAAAUGUAUGCUAGACUUUGCUAUUUCUGUGCACAUGUCCCUCUACUGCUACAGCUGUCUCCCUACCUCUUCCACAAAGUCACUCUUUCACAUCUAUCUGGAGACCAUCUUGUUCUCUAAAAUCCCCUGCAAGAACUGGACCAUUGCAUCCCCACCUGUCAUAUGCACGACAUUUACUUUCUGGGCUGUUCAUGACAUAUUGCAAUAGGUGGUGGUUUCUAUUUCUUAUUGAUCUCUGGUUAUUCAACUUAGGAAAUAUUUUUCUCAUUUCCUUCAACAAAACAGAACUAUAAACUUUCUGGGGAAAGGAGCUAUAUGGUCUAUUCCUGCACUACCCAGCAUGGGUGUGCCCCAUACUUGUUGAUUGCAGCAAUCUUGUCCACAUCCCCAGUAGGAACCAAAUAACCAUGGAGGUAUUUAGAGAAUCAUCUGCCUAUUACUUUAGGAUUUGUGUUUAGCUGCUUUAUUGGGGUGGAGGGGAUUUAUUCCUUUUUACCUAUCUCUUUAUCUUGCUUUAUCAAAUCCAGAUCCUCAUGGUUCGUUUGCCUUGCUGUGUCUCCCAUGUCCAUCUCAGGUCUCCUGUAAGAGGAUAGGUUGGACCACCAAAGCCAGAGGUAGCAGCAGCAUUGUCAGAAAUACACAGGAAGUCUGUUCCUUGUCCUAAUCCAGAUACGCAUCAGCAAACACGGACUUAGCAGGAAGUCAAGCUUUCAAGUAAAGCCAGUGAAGCACUGAGGGGAAGCAUCAGAAAUACACCCCAAAUUGACUUGGCGUCUGUCGCCUGGGACUGCCUGGGCUGUGAAUGGAAAACUCUUGUAGAUUAAAGGAGGGGAGCACAGGCAGUGGGUGUAUUUCAUACUUACUAUCCUUUUCAGAAUCCCUGCGAAAUGGUUGACCUUAGAGGGGACUCUCGAUGAUUACACCUAAGUCUUUUCAACCUGUUGUUCCUAUUUACACUUGUGCUUUAUGGAUUCCUUCAGGGAGAAGCGUUUUAAAGGAAUACAGAAAGCUUUCCACCCCAGAGACACUCAAAGGUGGCAGCUUAGGCAGAUAGCUUUCAUUUCUCUGUUUGUGAUUUUCCUUCCAGGAUAAAAUAUUUCUUCUUCCCCUAAGCGUCUGGAUUUUGUGAUCUGGGACAUGCUCGGAUUUAACAGUUUGAACUUUUAAAAAUAAUAAUUAUUUGAGGAUAUUCUGCUCUUUUAUCUGUGGGAAGACUGGGGAAUCUGGAGUUACUUCUGUAGCUUUUUAAAAGCUUAGCUUUCUCGAAGUGCUGUUUUUUUAAACUAUCAUAAGUCAAAUUUAUCAUGGGGAUAAAGUAAUAAAGACAAAUAUUCAACCAAUAAUGAAAAGCUAAAUAAACGGGUAUGUUUAAGCUCUAUUAUAUGCAGGGGAGUACAUUAAGGCAGAUCUAAGAGACACUUUAAUGGAUUUAACAUUAGCAAUCAGACCUGGACUUGGUAUAAAUCAAACACCAUCGCAUUUCAGUCUAAUGCACACCCACUCAUUCAUUAGCACCAUUCAACGCAGAUUAUAAAUAUUAGCCAAGAAACCUUCAGUUCUGGAGAUUCUUUCCACAGACACAGCAAUAAUAGAACAAUAAUGAUGACAAUUUUAUUUUUAUGAAUCGCUAUGGCUUACUUUUAUUGAUUUGCUCUUGGGCCUGGAGAAAGCUUCCUCAGCCAGUAUACAACAGGAAGUGGUUCUAGCAUUAUCAGAUAGGCCAUAAAGAGAUAAAUAAAAUAAAGGGGGGUAGGAAUGAUGGUGGGACUCGGCAAGCUGCUGAUAUAAGCAAGAAUUACUCCCCUCACUCCCAACAAUAGAACAACUUAAAUUACCUCCCUUCUCCCUCCCUGCUCCUCUCUUCCAAUUCAGUGAAAGGAAAAUACUCCCAGGCUGUAAAUGUGCAUUAACUUCGGAGCUGAACAUUUUGGGGUUCUUGGUAGCAGCUAGAGGGAAAUGAAUAAGAUGGGAAUAAAUGAGCUUGCUUAGGCAUUGCAUAAAAGGAGGGUGAAACCCCACAGGAAUAUGGCCUUUCACUGCCUGCUUUGAUGAUGUGCAGCUUCUUAGUAACAAAGGCAGUGUAGCCUUCUGAAAAUACUCCAUCCAUGAUUAUGAAAAGGAGCAGGUCUCUGGCUGCCUAUUCCUUCUCCAGAGCACAUGAUGUCCUGACAUUUUCCGUGCACUUUCCCUGCCUUUUAUCUCUCAGAGGCAAUGAAUUGAACAUCCUGGGGUAUCAGUAAGAAGGAAACACUUCUAUGGAUCUGCACAUGUGUUUCCACAGCUGCCAUUGUGUUUUUCCCCUUUGCGGUGACAGAUUUCAGAGGUUUUGUUUCACACUUAUUCCCUCCUAUCCCCAGUGACAAACUGGACUUGUACCUCUGUUUAUUCACUGCAUUGAGAUCUCACCAUGUCUCUUAGUGAAAGGAACAAGAGCAAAUGCAUCUUUGAGGGUCUAUGAGUCUUCUGCAAAUUCCAUACAGUGAAGCAGACUGGCAGGUUUGGUCAUGACAGGGGCAGUGGUAAGAGAAAUUCUGUCUUUUGGCAGUUACUCUUCCAUUCUCAGUGGACUUUUCUUUCCUGGGCAAAAAUUUCUGGGUCAGUUUAUAAUGGAGGUGUGGACAAGCUGAUGCCUAAGAGCUUGUUUCUAAGCUCUUGUUCAGCUUGUACAUUUGCUGUUUCUAUGACUCAUCCAUAUCCCCAUGGAAGAAUGGGAUGUUGAGCUACCCCCAUAGUUAGGGAAACAACCCUGAGCAGCAUAAGCAUAGGAAUAGCUGCUGGCACAACCCCACAUUCUAGUUCAUUCUGCAUGUCACCUUUUUGAUUACAUCUUUAAGGCAAGCCUGCCUGAAUGCUUUAAUUCUACCCUUUCCCCAGAAAGUAAGUUCUUUUGACUUUAAAGUUAAUUAAACUAUAGCUAUAACUUAAUGCUUAAUAAAUUAAUGGUUUUCAAAAUGUUUUAAAGAAUUCUGAGUGAUUUGGUAACCUGAUGAGCUAUCAUAUAACAACUGGAAAAGAUCUCAGAUCUAAUAACAUCAAAAAUCCACAAAAGUUCAGCAUCAUAUUUUGUGGUUAUUGGAGAAAAGGAAGGAAGGUACAUUAUUGGCUUGAGUUUAGAUGGGGGGAUCUUGUGUCUCUGAAGGAAAAAAAAAUCACUCUGUAAACCAAAAAUAUCUCAGCAACUGCAACUUGUGUCGAGCUUAACCACAAUUCCAUGGUGGUUUUCAAGCUCUUUGAUGCACACAAGUUCAAUGAGCUCAUUGGUUUCUAAAAGUAUUAAAGGGAAUAAUUGUAAACGUGACCAGUCCCAGGAGGGCGACUGAGAAAGUGGUUGCUGGAGAUUCCUGAUGGAAAGAACAGAAAUUCCGGAAAUGGAUGAUGGUGCCCCCCCGACCCCAAGAGUGUUUAUAAAACAUGAAGAAGAGCCAGGCACUACUCAUUUAUUAAAAAAGUAACUCAUUUAAAAAUACUUAUUCUGUGCCUACUAUGAGCCAGGUGCUCUACUAGGUACCGAAUAAAUGACAAUGAGACAGACAUACCUGCUGCCCUCAAAGAUCUUAUUCUAGUAGAGGGAGACAAUUAAAUUAAUUAAGUAAUUUUAGGUAGCAAUAAUUGGUAGAACAUUAUGUAAUAGGGAUGUGGAAGAGACCAAAUGGGAAAGGUGAUUUUUAUUAAAGGCCUUAUAAUUCCAAGUAAUAAAUAUAGGUUUUCUUCUGAGAGACCAGUAUCAUUAUCUUAUUUACAAUUCACAAAGAUAACUGUGGCUGCUCUAUGGGAAAUCUGCCAAAGUUUAAUAAAUCUGUGGAAUAGCUAAUUACUGAUUGAUGGGAGACUGAGAGUCUCCCAUUCUUGAUGGCAAAUGGAUCUCUAGUUGCUCUGAAGUUCCAGGAAGUAAGCUAACUGGGAGCACAGAUGAUGUUUUCCUUUCUUCUGGUUGUCAGUAGUGUCUUUGGGAGAAAAAGACCAGUUACAGAAAUGCAGUUUAACAGCUCAGUUUAAUUUUCUGCAUAGUGCUUUCAGUGAUCAAAUAAGGGGUUCCAGGAAAGAGUGUCAAAAACUCUGCGUAUUUAGGAAUUUGCUUUUGACCCUGGCAGGAUAAAGGGGGCAACUGUGCAAAUGUGGCAGUAGUUAAUUGCAAGGUCUAGUGAAGAUUCUAAUAAUUAGCAUGGUGCCUAAUGCACGUAGGUGUUUGGUAAACAUUUGCUAGAUGGGUAAAGCCAGGAUUAUUAACCAAACACCGAAGUUUAUUGAAAGACAAGGUAGAAUUGGAAAUAAGUUCACAAACAUUGAGAAAGGCUAGGAAACUCCUCAAAUGAGACAGGUCCUGGUCUGAUAAUUAUGGCCCCCUUUGAUUCACUGGAAAUGUGUGUGUGUUUGUAUGUGUGUGCAUGCAUGCACAUGUGUAUGUUACUGGUAGAAGAAUUCUAGGUACCCAGGAGACCUGGACAGAAGUUAUUAGGCACAUAGGCCUCCCCACAAAGGCAGCAUGCCUAGAUUUGGAAAGCCAUCAGCACUAAUUGCUGUCUAAACAUGAGAGGUGUUACUUGACCUCGUGGUGCUCCAGUCUACCAAUGUAGUCCUUGUCUGGUAAUGUGGAAUCUCUGAUGUCAUUCUGGUCUGCAUUCCAUUGCAUUCUACCUAGAAGCACCAAAGCAGUCAACAGGAUCAAAGAAUAUAAGUGAGAGCGGAUAACAUGAAUGCCUUAAUCUCUGAGUUAUUGGAUUAUAAUAUUUGUGGUGUUCCGACAGGAGCUGAGCAGUCAGUGAGAAGUCCAGGGAUCUUUCUUUCCCUUCUCCAGACCAAAUCUGGCAGCAGAACCAAUUUCUUCUUCAAGUGGCAAGUGCCUCUCCAUGAAAGGGUGCUAUAAUCUUACAACUUCAUUUCCCAAAUUUCCUUGGUUGAAUGUAUGCGUCUCCUAUGUUAUUGUAAGGUGGAGAAUUGAAUGUUGAUUUCAUAAAUUUGAUAGGGACUUUUGAAAAAAACUGCCAUGCAAUUAAUUUUCUUCACUCAUUAUGUAUAUGACAGUGUCUCCGCUGGGCUCAGAUGACAAUGCGCAGAGUAGGAGAGAGGGCUGUUCUCCCUCUGACUCCACCUCAGAUUCCAAGGCUUGAGGGAAGGCACCAGAAUAAAACAACUCUCUGCAGACCGAUGUUUUCAUGUGAGACAUCAACUGCAGUGGUGGUGGCCAGGUGCUGCCUUUAAAUAGCUGUGGACAGAGGAUUUCCAGAAGGAAGGUGGAAUGGAAAAAAAUACAGACAGACUUGGUCCCAAUGACAUGGCACAGCAACCCUAGAAGAGGGAGAAAUUUGAGGACUGCAAGUGGAAAAGCAGGGCUGAAUGUGAAGAGGGGUUACAGAGAGCGGGGAAACAGGAAGAUGAAUGAGGAGGCCAGAAACCAGUGGGGGGUUGCACAGAAGUUCAGACAAACUAGUGCAAGAAGGACAGGGCUGAGAUCUUGGAUGCCUAGUGGUCCACAAGGCCUGAUUUUAUAAUAUCUGAGGUUGCUGAGUGUUAUGCUGAGGUCUUAGGGCACAUGGUAGGCAAGAAUUCCAUGAUAAGCUUAUUGUAUGGAGUUUUAUAGCUGAUAGGGACCCUAGUGAAAAGGAACAUAACAAAUGAGGAAACUAUGGUAUACAGCUUCAGUAUGAGCCCAGGUGCCCAGGUCAGAACCGUUCCAUUUCCCCCCAAAGUCCUCAAAUGCUUUGGUUCCAAGUGACCAUUGCACUGUGGAGAAUCUUAGUAUGGAAAGUAGCUUGGCCUCUCAGACAUGCAUGAGCACACAUCUCAGAACCUUCAUUUUAAAAAUAACUUUAUUUUACUGUGGUAAGAACACUGAACUUGAGAGCUACCCUGCUAAGAAAAUGUUAAGUAUAUAAUACAGUGUUACUAACCAUGUAUAUAUAUAUAUAUAUAUAUAUAUAUAUACACACACACACACACACACACACACACACACAAUGUUGUACUGCAGAUCUCUAGAACUUAUUCAUGUUGCAUAACUACAAAUUUAUGCCCCUUGAUUAGAAACUCAUUUCCCUCUCCCACAUAGCUCCUGGCAACCACAAUUUCUCUCUUUGAUUUUAUGAAUUUGACUAUUUUAGAACUUUCUUUUUGUGUCAAAAUUAAAAUUAUGUUAGUCCAUUUUCAUGCUGCUGAUAAAGAUAUCCCAGAGACUGGGUAAUUUAUAGAGAAAAAGAGGUUUAAUGGACUCACAGUUCCAUGUGGCUCGGGAGGCCUCACAAUCAUGGUGGAAGGUGAAAGGCAUGUCUUACAUGGCAGCAGACAAGAAAGAAUGGGAACCAAGGGAAAGGGGAAACCCCUUAUAAAACCAUCAGAUCUCGUGAGACUUAUUUACUACCAUGAGAACAGUAUGGGGGAAACCACCCCUAUGAUUCCAUUAUUUCCCAGCAAGUCCUUUCCACAACAUGUGGGAAUUAUGGGAGCUGUAAUUCAAGAUGAGAUUUGGGUGGGGACACAGCCAAACUGUAUCAAAUUGCCUUAUAGGAAAAGAAUAUCAGGAAUUAGGAUUAUUGACAUCAAUAGGCCCCAAGGCAACCUUCUGGAGGGCCAUAGAAUAAUAAGGAAUUAGAUAGUGGCUAUAUCCUUUUCUUGUCAGCAGUGUGUAUUUACACGAUCUUGGCAUUGCGUAACUGUGUUUUUCUUUUUAAACAAAAUAAAAAUAUCAGAGGAGUUCUGCAGUAAAUAGAAAAUUGUCUUAAAUGACAUAAAAAUUAAGAACAUUUAACAAAAUCUUCACAACAGAGGGAAGGCAAGCAACAGACCUUCUACAGUCAGUGGCUCAGUGUUAAUGACACUGAAGUUAGGGUGUCUUCCCUGUCAGUCUGAUUUCUUCAUGGUGGCAAAAUGGCUGCAGUAGGGCCAGAUGUCACAUCCAGAAUUCUUUUCCAGUGUGUCUCUUUAUAGGAGUUAGAAAAAUCUUGCUCAGACACUUUGCCCAAUCAAAAAUACUAGUCAGCUAUUGCCACAAUAAUGCUGAGUUAUAAAAUAUCCCCAAAUUUGUCCCUUAUAGAAAAAGCAUAUAUUCUCAAGCUCAUAAGUCUGGGUUGACUGUGCUUUGGCUGUUGUAGGCUGAGAAGCUGUGCCUUAGUCUUCAGGGGCUUCUGGGAAUAGCUACAGACUGCAGGUUGGGUUCAAGUCAGCUUCAGGUGUGUUUGUUCUGGUGCAUGGGCUCUUGGGCAGCAAUUACUGUAGACAUCUCUUUUGAUGGGGAAUCAAUAGAGAGCAAGAGCAAGUCAUAUUAAGUCCUGUGACCCCCUAACCCCCAUUUCCUAACAUCCCAUUGGCCAAAACAAGUUACAUGGCCAAACCAAACACAAGUUAGGUAGAGAAGUAAACUCCACUCACAGUGGGAAGAGGAGGGCGGUGAAUGUUUAUUGAACAAUAAUUCAUCUGUUACUCUCUCUUCUCCAGCAUGACCUGUAGGCAACCUAGUGGUAAUUGCUAGGCACAGCACUCCAUUAAUAGCAUUCAUUAAUUAUGACAGGGACUCAAAAGAAAUAGAAGCACAGGCACAGAACCUCAGUGUUAGCUGGUGUUCAUUACCUAACUCACGGAAGGACAGGAAAUGUUCAGAAGUGGAAAUCCUCAGGGUCUGCUUGAUUCCUGUUCUAGUUCCCCACUGAUCUGGCUGCAGUCCCAAGACUCUGUCUCUAUCUCCAUAUCUUCUCUGGCCUUCUUUUCUCUUGGGCUCCAUUCCUCUGUCACUUUCCACCUUCCUUUUGGGUCCUUGUGUGCCCUUGACUCUAGAGUGAUGACCAAAGGAGUGAUCCUGGGAGGAAAAGGUGCCAGGGAGAUAUGUGUAAUACUUGUAGUUAAUGAUAGCUAACAUUCUCAGUGCUUUUUAAAUGCCAAGAACAGUGCUAAUGGUUUUAUCUGUAUUACCUGUCAUUCUCACAAUGACCUAGUGAGGUGGCUGCUAUUACAACUCCCAUUUUCCAUAGGAGGACAUUGAGGUUCAAAAAUGUGAAAGUGUUCAAGUUUACAAAACUAGCAAGAGGCAGAAUUGGGAUCAAAACCCAGGUGCAUCUGACUCCAAAGUUAUUCCCUUAACUACUAUGCAAUUUUUCCUAUUAAGGAUUUAUAAUUAAAAAGCACAUUAAAAUAGAAUCAUUGGAGAUAGGAAAAAUAAUUUUUUUCCUGUAUUGAAAAUCAAUUAUAAAGUUUUGUGGUAUCAUAUCCCUUUAUCCCCAAUAUGGAUCUAGCAGAAGCCUGUAAGUGAAAAUAACAAUGUCAAAAGUAUUAUUUUUAUGGAGUUGUUAAUUGUUUUAUAGAGCAAACUCAUAAAAGUCACAGGCCACAAAACAUAAUUACAAACUGCACUCGACAUCAAUUACAGGAAAUAUUGAUUUCUUUAACUCACAUCUUAUCCAGAGCUAUAAAUUAUGGGAAAUAGGGGAAUGUGUGUACAACUCCUGUCUGGAUGUCUAAUCAUAUACCACUUCCAAAUGCGUUCAUUAUUGGGGUAGUGUUGAGGAUGGACUACACUACAUUACAUGACCCUUUCUUUAUAAGGAUUCAUGGGAAUAUGUUUUUUUUUUCUUUCAGAUCUCAUUCCUUGAAAUAUUGUACAUCUCUUACUUGUUUUUGUCUUACACGAUCUAUGAUUCCUGUAACCUUUGUUUUCUUAAAGUGUCUUUCAGGGAUCCAUGGUGGGUCCCUGAGACAAGUUCAGGGAGUCUUGGAGGUAAAAUCUAUGUUCCUAAUAUGAGAGCUAUUCGGCUUUUGCAUUCCCAUUAUCUUGUGAGUGUAUGGUGGAGUUUUCUGGAAGCUGCUGAAUAUGUGGUAUCACAACACGUUGAAUGCAGAAGCAGACACAAGAAUACAGUUGUUUUCUGUUUAGCCAGAUAUUAACAAGAUUUGCAAAAAUGUGAAACAAUGACAAUCUUCUAAUGUUUUUGGGGGGAGAAAUCUAGUUAUUUUCCAUAAAAUGUUAUUUAUAUUAACAUGUAAUAGGUCUAUUGCUAUUUUCAAGAUCAAUUCAUAACUAUUUUUAAAAUUUCUCAGUUUUGAUUGCUAAUAAGAUAAAUGUCAGUAGAUAUAACCCACAUAAACAGCUCUUUGAGGCCCUCAAUAAGUUUUAAAAAUGUAAAUAGAUCCCGAGGCCAAAAAGUUUGAGAACUAUUGCUGUAACCAACUGUGUUUUUUUUUCCUUUGUUUUGGAAGCUAGAAAGCCCAGACCAGAUUUGUAGUCCACCUCCAGCAUUUGUCUAAGAUCCCAAGACAUAGAAUUUAUGGACUAAUAUUUCCCCAUGCAGUCUUUUGUUUUUAACCCUUAUUUUUCUUUCUAAAUGAUUUUAUAUUCUAUUUUUAAAGCUUCUCUGUUUUAUUUUAAAAUGCUUUAUCAUAAGAUUCAUGUAAGUUAUUAUGGGUCACUGGAAAUUAAACAGUUGGUAGAAAGAAUGGGUUGCCCUCUUGGAGCGUGGUAUAGAAAUGCAAUAUUAAAGAUUUUCAAAUAAAUGUGCUCUUAAAUUCAAAUGCUGCUUCUUACAGAGUGCAGGCGGCAUCUUCUUGGUUAUUGUUGAAACCAUUGCCACUAUAUCUAAAUGAAUGGUACUUUCGUCCUGGAGUCUCUUCAAUCUCUAUUCUCUAAAUUAUGCAUAUCCUUUUAGGUACAGCCUCUCCCACUCACUCUGCCCGUUUCUCCUCCCUGAGCCUAGUAGAGUUUUUUUUUCCUUUUCUUUUCUUCUACUUUGCAUUUAUGUUCUCUAUGACCUAUUCUUAAAACAUAUUUUCUAAUGCAUUUCUUGAGUUCAGAAUAAAAGGCUGGUACUUUCAGCGUUACUUCAUCUUCAUUAUUAGCCUCUUACAACUCUCUCUGAUUUAAGGUUAUUGUAUGAUACUUGAGCUCUCUGCUAAUGUACAUUACAUUGGCACUGUAAUCAGUGCACAUUUCAAGGGCUUCAGUCAACAGUAGUACCCGAAGCUUUGAAUUCAAAAAAUGUAUAAAAUUAUUUUUGCAAAUUUGUAUCUAAAUAGAGAAGGGGAUUAGAUUGGUCUAAAGCAUGCAAUAAGGCAUACCUUUCAACUUUUCAUUGUAUAUAAUGUACAGAUGAUUAAUUUUUUUUGAGCUUUAGUUGAUCAACUAUUGUUGUAGUUUUGAUAAACACUCUAAUAUUUUCUUUCUGGUUGAACUUGAGAAUAACUUAUGUCUCUCUCUCAUAGCUGAACUCAGUCGUAAACCUGUGAUGGGGAAAAUAAAACUAUGGUAAUGUUUGAUCAUUGUGGCAUUAUCUCCAACGAAUGGGUAGUUUCUUUUGGUAAAGCUUUCUGAUAUCUUUGUAUGGGUUAGGGGUUAGUUAGAGUUGAAUUCAGGAGAGCUGAGAAUGAGAUCAAAUAAAUUAUCCUGAGGAUAUCCAUUAAAUUGAAAACUCUCUUGUUUUCUAAAUGACGAGUUUCUCUCAUUUAUCUAAACGUGUCUUGAUGGCACAUAGAUGAUAUGGUGGCUAUUUUUUUUUAACCACAAAACUCAGUGACAUGGACCACCCACAGUAAAUUCAGAGUAGAGGCCUCUCAUGAGGACAUAUUUGUACAGACAUAAUAAGUCAUAAUGUGAUGAAAAGUAAAGUCAAAGUUCUCUCACAAACAAUAAAUAACUGCAUUAUUUUAAGUUUCCUAACUACAGCUAUUAAGCAGUUCUUAGAAAAUGAUUUCUUGACUUACUACUUACAAAAUCUGUUGGAGAAGAGCUUUCUACCAGGGUAUUCUUACGGAAUGGAGGAAAAAAAUAAAAAACCAAAAAGUGUCAGCCUGGUCCCUAAGGUCUUCCAUAAUCUGCUCUUGCACUUAUAUCCCUAACUUUCUUUCUUCCUUUCCGUUUCCUUUUUCUUCUUCUUCUUUUUUUUUGACAGAGUCUUGCUCUGCUGCCCAGGAUGGAGUACAGGGCACAAUGUCAGCUCACCACAACUCCUACGUCCCGGGUUCAAGUGAUUCUCCUGCCUCAGCCUCCCAAGUAGCUGGGACUACAGGCGCCUGCCAUCAUGCCCAGCUAAUUUUUGUAUUUUUAGUAGAGAUGGGGUAUCACCAUGUUGGCCAGGCUAGUCUCGAACUCCUGACCUCAAGUGAUCCACCCACCUUGGCCUCCCAAAGUGCUGGGAUUACAGGCGUGAGCCACCAUGCCUGCACUCACAAGGUUGUGCAGCCAUCACUUCUGUCUUGUUUCAAAACAUUUUCAUCAUCGCCAAAGACGACCCCAUGCCAUUUUGUAGUCACUGUGCCUCAUUCUCUCCUCUCUCCAGUCCCUAUUUACUACCCAUCUGCUUUCUGUCUCUAUGAAUUUUACCUAUUCUGGAUAUUUAAUGAAAAUGAAAUUGUGUAAUAUGUGACUUUGUGUAUGGCUUCUUUCACUUAUCAUAAUGCCUUUGAGGUUCAACCAUACCAUGACAUGUGUCAGCAUGUCAUUCCUUUGACAUCUGUCCAUUUUAUCUCAUUUAUUUUAGAUUCCUUUAUUAGGUGCAUGCACAUUUAAGAUUGCUAUGUCUUCCUUAUGAAUAGAUCCUUUUAUUAUUAAAAAUAAUCCUGCUUUUUCUCAUAAUGCUUCUUAUCAAGUACUUCUUUUAAACUGUGUCUCUUGUAGAGAGAGGAGAGUAGAGUUUUUAAUGGUUACUUUACAUAGAUGGGAUAGACUCCCCACUGCCAUUCCUAUUAGGUUUUCAUGUCAAGACUCACAAUGCCACACAUGCACCAAGAGGGUGUGUGAAAAGGUUUAUAACCACAUGAUGAGGCUUUCUGGGGAGGGCAGGGCUGGCACCCAAACUAGCAAAACAAAUGGCUUGAGAAUUAGGGAAAAAAAAAAAAGACUGCCUUGACUUUUAUUGUGAUUAGAAGGUGAAGCUGGGAUGAAGGUUCCUGUGCAUGAACUGGGGACUGUAUGGUUUGAACUUUUCACCAGUGCCAAAGGAAGGAGCACUUGGCUUUCUUAUCAGCUUGCCCAGAUGUGGGUUAGGAGGGGAAUGAAAAGUGGCAGAGCUUGAAAGCUGCCAGCAGUCAAACAUAAAAUAUGGUGUCAGACUCUUUAUUACAUAAAUAUUACCUUUUAAUAAAUUCAGCAUGACAGUCUUUGGCCUUUAAUUUAAAUAUUUCAUUCACUUACCCUUGAUUUUAGCAUUUCCUUUUGAUUCUUUCUUAGAGUUUCCAUUGUUCUGUUUACAUUAGCCAUCUAUUCUUGCAUGCUGUUUACUCCUUCCAGUAAAGCCCUUAGAAUAUUACAAGCAUACCUCAAAGAUAUUGAGGGUUUAGUUCCA
Long non-coding RNA from Homo sapiens (human), 14855 nucleotides. RefSeq lists it as uncharacterized. The record is from RefSeq and is a predicted model, not a curated record. NCBI's taxonomy places the organism in Eukaryota, Metazoa, Chordata, Mammalia, Primates, Hominidae. The transcript is spliced from 4 exons.